GGGGGAACGAUGUUUGCAAAUAAGGUAAACGAGGCUUGCACAAAACGUAUAAGUUGUUUGCACAUAAUGUAAAAGGCAUUUGCACAUGACGUAAUGAAUGCUCACAGAGAGUAUCAAUUGUUCGGCAAAACGCAUAGGAACUAUACCAUGAUGUGUUGUGUUUUUCACUGGAGAUACAUAUGUAUAAACACAACAUAACGCCAAAAAGACUAUAAUAUCAUGAGGUUUACAUAGAACAAAGGUGUAUCAAAACAAAACCUUUAGAACAUUGCGCAUAACAAUCACAUUUGAGACAGGACACAAUUUUUAACUGACUUACGUAAAAGAAGA
RNAcentral lists this long non-coding RNA (330 nucleotides) under Mytilus galloprovincialis (Mediterranean mussel). Lineage: Eukaryota; Metazoa; Mollusca; Bivalvia; Mytilida; Mytilidae. The record is from RNAcentral.